This 465-nucleotide ribosomal RNA is filed under the name uncultured bacterium. RNAcentral's name for it is "partial 16S ribosomal RNA". It matches the Rfam family "Bacterial small subunit ribosomal RNA", at positions 28 to 507 of the family's 1533-position model. The record is from RNAcentral.
GACGAACGCUGGCGGCGUGCUUAACACAUGCAAGUCGUACGGUAAGGCCCUUUCGGGGGUACACGAGUGGCGAACGGGUGAGUAACACGUGAGUAACCUGCCCACAACUUUGGGAUAACGCUAGGAAACUGGUGCUAAUACUGGAGAUGUGCUCCUGCUGCAUGGUGGGGGUUGGAAAGCUCCGGCGGUUGUGGAUGGACUCGCGGCCUAUCAGCUUGUUGGUGGGGUAGUGGCCUACCAAGGCGGCGACGGGUAGCCGGCCUGAGAGGGUGACCGGCCACAUUGGGACUGAGAUACGGCCCAGACUCCUACGGGAGGCAGCAGUGGGGAAUAUUGCACAAUGGGCGCAAGCCUGAUGCAGCAACGCCGCGGGCGGGAUGACGGCCUUCGGGUUGUAAACCGCUUUCAGCAGGGACGAAGCUUUUUGUGACGGUACCUGCAGAAGAAGCACCGGCUAACUACGUG